Molecule: long non-coding RNA, 498 nt
Filed under: Canis lupus dingo (dingo)
Lineage: Eukaryota; Metazoa; Chordata; Mammalia; Carnivora; Canidae
Description: lncRNA (ENSCAFG00020011170.1)
Source: RNAcentral
AGGCUUUUUUUUUUUUUUUUUUUUUUUUUGAGGUAUAUCAUGUUUAUUUUUUCCUCUGUGAACAGACCACACAUAUCUGAUUCUUUGUAUGCUUUGUAAUUUUUUGUUGAGAACUGGACUUUUUUAUAUAAUGUUGUACUUCUAGGAAUCAGAUUCCCCCUGUUCCCCAGAGAUUGCUGAUGUUGCUCAGAAGGAUAUAGUCAUCUGUCUGUUUAGUGACUUCUCUAAACUAUUUUUGCAAGGACCAUUUUUCCUGUCAUGUGUGAGCACUCACUAAAGUCUCCAUUCUGUUAUCUCAACAGUUGGCUAGCGGCCUAACAGAGAUUCCUUGAAUGCAGGGAUCCAAUAAAGAGAGAGAAAUGAAAAGCAUUCUGUUCUUUUAAUUCCCUGACAAAUGCUGCCCUGAAGCUGCUUCAGCAUAAGACAGUUGCAACAACGACCAGCUCCUGCAAUGCUCCCACUGUAAUCUACAAGCAGGUAGCUGUGGAUAAUUUCUGA